GACGAACGCUGGCGGCGUGCCUAAUACAUGCAAGUCGAGCGGACCAAACAGGAGCUUGCUCUUGUUUGGUUAGCGGCGGACGGGUGAGUAACACGUGGGUAACCUGCCCGUAAGACCGGGAUAAAUCCGGGAAACCGGAGCUAAUACCGGAUAACACCGAAGACCGCAUGGUCUUUGGUUGAAAGGCGGCUUCGGCUGCCACUUACGGAUGGGCCCGCGGCGCAUUAGCUAGUUGGUGAGGUAACGGCUCACCAAGGCGACGAUGCGUAGCCGGCCUGAGAGGGUGACCGGCCACACUGGGACUGAGACACGGCCCAGACUCCUACGGGAGGCAGCAGUAGGGAAUCUUCCGCAAUGGACGAAAGUCUGACGGAGCGACGCCGCGUGAGCGAAGAAGGUCUUCGGAUCGUAAAGCUCUGUUGUUAGGGAAGAAGAAGCGCCGUUCGAACAGGGCGGCGCGGUGACGGUACCUAACGAGAAAGCCCCGGCUAACUACGUG
This 499-nucleotide ribosomal RNA is filed under the name uncultured bacterium. RNAcentral describes it as "partial 16S ribosomal RNA". It matches the Rfam family "Bacterial small subunit ribosomal RNA", at positions 28 to 507 of the family's 1533-position model. The record is from RNAcentral.